This 459-nucleotide ribosomal RNA is filed under the name uncultured bacterium. RNAcentral describes it as "partial 16S ribosomal RNA". It matches the Rfam family "Bacterial small subunit ribosomal RNA", at positions 338 to 795 of the family's 1533-position model. The record is from RNAcentral.
CCUACGGAGUGCAGCAGUGAGGAAUAUUGGUCAAUGGCCGGAAGGCUGAACCAGCCAAGUCGCGUGAGGGACGACUGCCCUAUGGGUUGUAAACCUCUUUUAUAAGGGAAGAAUAAAUGCUACGUGUAGCAUGAUGCCUGUACCUUGUGAAUAAGCAUUGGCUAACUCCUUGCCAGCAGCCGAGGUAAUACGGAGGAUGCGAGCGGUAUCCAGUUUUAUUGGGGUGAAAGGGUGCGUAGGCGGUUUUUUAAGGUCGUGGUUAAACGUCGGUGCGUCACCUUGAUUUGCCAUUAAUACUGUAAUGCUCGAGUUCAGACUGGGUAGACGGAAUAAGUUAAGUAGCGGUGAGAUGCUUAGGUAUAACUUAGAACUCCGAUAGCGAAGGCAGCUUACCAGACUGCUACUGACGCUGAAGCACGAGAGCGUGGGUAGCGAACAGGAGUAGAUACCCCAGUAGUC